UACAGAGGUGCCGAGCGUUAGGCGGAAUCACUGGGCUUAAAGCGUGUGUAGGCGGGCGGGCAAGUACCUUGUGAAAUCCCACGGCUCAACCGUGGAACGGCUGGGUAUACUGCCUGUCUUGAGCCAACUAGGGGCGAGCGGAACAGACGGUGGAGCGGUGAAAUGCGUAGAUAUCGUCUGGAACGCCAAAGGUGAAAACAGCUCGCUGGGGUUGUGCUGACGCUGUGACACGAAAGCCAGGGGAGCGAACGGG
This 253-nucleotide ribosomal RNA is filed under the name uncultured bacterium. Its description in RNAcentral is "partial 16S ribosomal RNA". It matches the Rfam family "Bacterial small subunit ribosomal RNA", at positions 524 to 776 of the family's 1533-position model. The record is from RNAcentral.